This 372-nucleotide ribosomal RNA is filed under the name uncultured bacterium. RNAcentral's name for it is "bacterial SSU rRNA". It matches the Rfam family "Bacterial small subunit ribosomal RNA", at positions 547 to 916 of the family's 1533-position model. The record is from RNAcentral.
GGAUUAUUGGGCGUAAGAGCUCGAUAGGCGGUUUGUCACGUUCUGAUGUGAAAACCCAGUGCUUAACAUCGGACCUGCAUUCGAUACGGGCUGACUAGAGUGUUGUAGGGGAGACUGGAAUUCCUGGUGUAGCGGUGAAAUGCGCAGAUAUCAGGAAGAACACCGGUGGCGAAGGCGGGUCUCUGGGCAAUUACUGACGCUGAGGAGCGAAAGCGUGGGGAGCAAACAGGAUUAGAUACCCUGGUAGUCCACGCCGUAAACGGUGGGCGCUAGGUGUGGGGAACAUUCCACGUUUUCCGUGCCGCAGCUAACGCAUUAAGCGCCCCGCCUGGGGAGUACGGCCGCAAGGCUAAAACUCAAAUGAAUUGACGG